UCUAUCGCGGUUAUACUAUUU
Non-coding RNA from Caenorhabditis elegans, 21 nucleotides. Lineage: Eukaryota; Metazoa; Nematoda; Chromadorea; Rhabditida; Rhabditidae. The record is from Ensembl.